Non-coding RNA from Parathielavia appendiculata, 113 nucleotides. NCBI's taxonomy places the organism in Eukaryota, Fungi, Ascomycota, Sordariomycetes, Sordariales, Chaetomiaceae. The record is from the annotation of a RefSeq genome assembly.
GGCAAGGUGGCCGAGCGGUCUAAGGCGCCACGUUAAGGAUUUUCCUUAAUUCACACUCUCCAUCGAGUUCCGUGGUCUCGAAAGGGGCGUGAGUUCGAAUCUCACCCUUGUCA